Molecule: long non-coding RNA, 487 nt
Organism: Cyprinus carpio carpio
Lineage: Eukaryota; Metazoa; Chordata; Actinopteri; Cypriniformes; Cyprinidae
Source: Ensembl
CUGUUCAUGAGUGAGUUACUGAACCGUUCAUAAACCAAUACAUUCAGAACCGCUCAUUCAGAAUGAAAUAAGUUUUGGACUUUGAGCGCCACAAUUUCAAGGUUCAACCGACGAAGAUGGUGCCAACUUCACUUCAGUCAUGUGAAAUCACCUUAACCGUCGAAAGAUACUACGCCAAAAAUAUAGUGUUGUUUUUAUUAUUUUUUUUCCCACAAAUGUAUUAUUUACAUGACCUGAAGAAGGAGAGAUAUAGCUGACGCAGCUCCUAUGAGGAUGGAGAUCUGGAGUGUCUCAGAGUGUCUCGCCCUUGAGCCGGAGCAGAGGUAGAGAAGCAGAAGAAAGAAAUUCAUACAGGAUUGGAAAUUUGGAAUGCAAUGAAGCACGUGGGUUAAGAAGAGAUGUGCCUGACAUCUCCUCACAGAGACCUGAAAUCCACUGAUGGGCGUCACAUUUAUGUGGAAUCCCCACAUGCCUGAUGUCUCCAGCA